AGGUUGCCAUAAAUUGGAAAAAAUUAGUGUCAACUUAGGAAUGUUUAAAAGCAAGAAAUUUGAAUAAUGAAGGCAUUAAGGAAGAAUUUAUCCAGAUGGAUCAUGAAACUUAACGCCAAAUCUUAGGACUUUCUUGAAAGAAUAAGAACUUGGCAUCUAAAAAGUUGGUCGGGGAUUUGAAAAACAAUUAUGCUAUUAUGCCAGGAUUUGAACUCUAAUCAUACGUAAAGCAUCAGAAACUUUAUAUAUAUCUAGAACUAAUUACAGGCUCUACAAUGUAACAUAUACAGUAAGCCUUACGCAAGCUCUGCUUCGUAUUGUGGUAAGCCAUCCACGAUGACAUGGCUCUAAAUAUUUACCAAACACCUUAUAAUUGUAGAUUAAAUUAAAAACUACGGCGAUUAGACAUCAAUUUCAUUUAAUUAACUAAUUAAGCAGUAAUCAAAACUACCUAGGACAUAAAGAACAAAAUCGAUGGCCGUAAUUGACACACAAUCUGUUUAUUAUAUCCAAUCUUCUUGUAAUGGAUAGAGAAUAACUUCUGCUGAUGUAUAUCAACAUAUCAUUUUCUUGAGCGAACAUAUACCUAUUAAUUAUAUAUAUACGUUGGAAUUUUUUUGUGAUAGUUGACCUUUCAAGUACAUGCAAAUGCAAUCCUUAUCACACAAAUUAAGACUAUCCAUUUGUAUGAUCGUAUCUUCAACUUGAGUUCUUGAAUUCUAUAUUUGGCAUCUUUGCUUCCAUGCCCUUGUGACAUAACAUUGGGGGAAUUGAUUCCUUUUAAUUGAAAUUAAUAAGUAAUUAAUACUACUAGAAAUGGGACUAAAAGUGUUUCUUGGCAACGAAAUCACAAUCUGUAUAAGCAUAAAUAAUGAUCUCACUUAUUCGAGGUCUGCAAAGUAAUUGGUGUCACUUUUUAAUUUAUUAUCUAUUUAUGUAAUUAUUUUUUUACAAUAACUGCACGGUAGUUAAACGUGUGAGGGACUGAGUGGAGAAUAUAUGCUUUGCUUUUUCCAGUCAACAGUAGCAAAGAGACAAGUUUACAAUUUUACAAGAUUCUCAAACAAUUCUUGUGAGCAAUAGUGGCAAUGUAGUUUCAUUUUCUUUUGGUACAAAGAAACAUCUGGAAUAUUCCAAUUUUAUUAGAUAUUGCAACUGAUGAGUUUUGUGGCAAGUGCUCACAUCCAGUCGUCUGUAGCCACCAAUUUUUGUACUUGCAAUACUGGGAUAUCAUUCUUUUAAUUUCUUCUCUCAGUAACAUCUCUUUAUUUUUUUUUUCUUUUUUUUUUCCCUCUCUUGGGUAUAAUUUGUUUUCUUUUUCCUACGGUCCUUGUCUUGAAGAACUUUCUCUCUUUUCUCUGGCUGAUCUGGCUGUACUUGAAAGCUGUUGAUCAUGAGUCUUCAAUCUGAAUCAAUUGGAUGUGUGAUCCUUGCACAUAACGUAAUUUACAUAAAAUGUUACAAAUCUAAAAGAAAUGAAUUGUGCGGUAAACAAUUUAAACACAAAAUGAAUUAUAUCAUUAAACCUUAUUCCUUAAUAAUUAAAGAGGUGACAACCCACCACCAAGUCCUUAACAAACAUGUCAAGGUCUAAAAUAACCCUUUUACUUUAUAUAAGUCAA
RNAcentral lists this long non-coding RNA (1622 nucleotides) under Citrus x clementina. Its description in RNAcentral is "Citrus clementina (C. clementina) long non-coding RNA (CCLE_LNC000787)". The record is from RNAcentral. Lineage: Eukaryota; Viridiplantae; Streptophyta; Magnoliopsida; Sapindales; Rutaceae.